This 495-nucleotide ribosomal RNA is filed under the name uncultured bacterium. RNAcentral describes it as "partial 16S ribosomal RNA". It matches the Rfam family "Bacterial small subunit ribosomal RNA", at positions 28 to 507 of the family's 1533-position model. The record is from RNAcentral.
GACGAACGCUGGCGGCGUGCCUAAUACAUGCAAGUAGAACGCUGAAGGAGGAGCUUGCUUCUCUGGAUGAGUUGCGAACGGGUGAGUAACGCGUAGGUAACCUGCCUGGUAGCGGGGGAUAACUAUUGGAAACGAUAGCUAAUACCGCAUAACAGUAGAUAUCGCAUGAUAUCUACUUGAAAGGUGCAAUUGCAUCACUACCAGAUGGACCUGCGUUGUAUUAGCUAGUUGGUGAGGUAACGGCUCACCAAGGCGGCGAUACAUAGCCGACCUGAGAGGGGGAUCGGCCACACUGGGACUGAGACACGGCCCAGACUCCUACGGGAGGUAGCAGUAGGGAAUCUUCGGCAAUGGACGGAAGUCUGACCGAGCAACGCCGCGUGAGUGAAGAAGGUUUUCGGAUCGGAAAGCUCUGUUGUAAGAGAAGAACGAGUGUGAGAGUGGAAAGUUCACACUGUGACGGUAUCUUACCAGAAAGGGACGGCUAACUACGUG